GCCGGGGUAGCCUAGCCUGGAAUGGGCGCCAGACUCAUAAUCUGGAGGUCGCGGGUUCGAAGCCCGCCCCCGGCACCA
This 78-nucleotide transfer RNA is filed under the name Candidatus Bathyarchaeota archaeon. Its description in RNAcentral is "tRNA-Met". It matches the Rfam family "tRNA". Rfam says of the family: Transfer RNA (tRNA) molecules are approximately 80 nucleotides in length. Their secondary structure includes four short double-helical elements and three loops (D, anti-codon, and T loops). Further hydrogen bonds mediate the characteristic L-shaped molecular structure. tRNAs have two regions of fundamental functional importance: the anti-codon, which is responsible for specific mRNA codon recognition, and the 3' end, to which the tRNAs corresponding amino acid is attached (by aminoacyl-tRNA synthetases). tRNAs cope with the degeneracy of the genetic code in two manners: having more than one tRNA (with a specific anti-codon) for a particular amino acid; and 'wobble' base-pairing, i.e. permitting non-standard base-pairing at the 3rd anti-codon position. RNAcentral also lists the same sequence under 1 other name. Lineage: Archaea; Thermoproteati; Candidatus Bathyarchaeota. The record is from RNAcentral.